Molecule: ribosomal RNA, 483 nt
Filed under: uncultured bacterium
Lineage: Bacteria
Description: partial 16S ribosomal RNA
Rfam family: Bacterial small subunit ribosomal RNA
Source: RNAcentral
GACGAACGCUGGCGGCGUGCUUUACACAUGCAAGUCGAACGGUGAAGGUGGAGCUUGCUCCGCCGGAUCAGUGGCUAACGGGUGAGUAACACGUGGGCAACCUGCCCAUAACUUUGGGAUAACUACUCGAAAGAGUUGCUAAUACCGGAUAUGAUGUCUGUAGGCAUCUAUGGAUUUGAAAAGUUUUUCGGUUAGGGAUGGGCCCGCGGCCUAUCAGCUUGUUGGUGAGGUAGUGGCUCACCAAGGCGACGACGGGUCGCCGGCCUGAGAGGGCGACCGGCCACAGUGGGACUGAGACACGGCCCAGACUCCUACGAGAGGCAGCAGUGGGGAAUAUUGCGCAAUGGGCGAAAGCCUGACGCAGCAACGCCGCGUGCGGGAUGAAGGCCUUCGGGUUGUAAACCGCUUUCAGCAGGGAAGAAGCGAAAGUGACGGUACCUGCAGAAGAAGCACCGGCUAACUACGUGCCAGCCGCCGCAGUAA